UUAAUAAAGACGUUAAGUUUUGAUGUAGUGUCCAUCAUGUCAAGUGUGGUGGAAGUGGCAUCAUCUGGUGGAGGGUGGAAGUGGCAUCAUUUGGUGGGAGGAGAGAGAGAUAUGGUAGCUGGGUCUCAGUAAACUUUUACUUUACAAUAGUUGAGUCUCAAUAAACUUUUACUUUAUAAUUUCUUCACGUAUUAAAAGAUUCGAAAUUUUUAUAUGUUGAUUUCGCACACCAAUUUAAAUAUGAUUAUUUCGUGAUUUUUAACUUUUUUUUGUUAUAUUUUUAAUUUUGAGGGGACCGGAAAAGAAAUAACUUUAUGAGAACGAUAGGCCUUUGCAUUAACACGAAAAGUUGGCUUUCAUUGACAUGAUCGUCGACAACAAAAAAAAUACAAAAUUGCACGAAUCCAUGCCACAGCUUCCCAGUUCACGCGCUUCCGCACAGAGCAAAGGGGGAAAGAAUUAAAAAGAAGAGGGAGUGAACUAGCCACAACUCCCAAAAAAAUAAAAGAAAAAAAAGAAAAUCUGCUAUUCAUCAUCAAGAUCCUCAACUUCCAGAUCCUCUGCAAUCGUCUCCAAUGGAGGAUGUCUGCAACUUCUGUCACAAGCCUGGACGAGAAGAGCCGGCGCGACCUCCAUCCAGGGACUCAAUCCUCCGAUUCCCUUGGCCAUUUCGGUACCGCGAUUCCCGAUUUGGACUCGAGAGCUUAAGAUUUGGUCGAAGGAAGAGCUCGACUGGGCAAGCUCCGGUUGUAAUCGCUGGAGAAAGAAAACCGCACGCUUCCUCUGCGAGAGAGAUGGAGACUUGGAGAGAGAUGGGGAGAGGGAGAGAAGGUUUUGUUGGGUGGUUGACUGGUUGGACAAACUUGAGGGGAGAGGCGGCUGUUUUUAUAAGGAGGGCAAAGGACGAGUGGGGAUUUCAUUUCGUUGGCUUUGGCUUGAAGAAAACGUGGCGUGUGUCGCUACUUAUUCGUGGAAGGUUCGUCCUCCUUUCCGGCCUUUCGACUGGCUGAAAAGGCUGGAGCACGAGAGAAAGUCAGAGACAUGUGAACACGUAUUAAUUAUAUGUGACAAUGACAUAUAUCGUGUUUGAACUUUAGUCCAUAAAUUUUAUAUUUUAUGAAUUUUUAAUUUAUUUAAUGUGGCUUAUACUUAGAAUAAAAAAAAACUGAUAAUACAUAUUCGAUAUAGUUCAUGAACUAUAUAACUAUGUUUAAUGUAAUCCGUAUAUUAAUUCAUAUUUAUUAAUAGGCUAAAGUUUAGAAAUUAAAUUACAUAUUAGAGUAAAGUUUAUAAAUCAUUUAUGUCAUUUUUUCCUAAUUAUAUUACACAACCAAUUGAGGAUGACAUGGACCAUGACAUGGCGCACUCUUAACGUGAUCACAUAUGUCAUAUACACCUUCAGUACCUAAAAUUUUGACCCUAAAGUUCAGAAAUUAUUGGUGUCAUUUUUCCUAAUUAUAGCACGCAACCGAUUGAGGGCAACGAGGGCCAUGACGUGGCGCACUCUGAACGUCAUCACGUGUGUCAUAUGCAUCUUCGGAUCUUACAGAUCUGCGUCAUUUGACUCUGGUGAGGAUUCACCGGUUCACGUAGGCGACCACACUAAUAUUUUUCAAUUCGUAGUGCGUGCACCCAGUCGGGAAGGCGAUUUUUUGCCCCCAACAACCGACAAGCCCAUGGAAUCUUGUCUAGAGGCAUUCCAGAGGAAAUUUUCUCUAACCAAAGUUUAGAUUACUUGGUGAUACAACCCAAGCGUUACCCACUUCUAAUUUUGAUUAUAUUCGCACAUAGGUAAUAUCAAUAACUUAUAAUAUACUAUUUAGGGGGUAAUGGUAGGAGAAAAUUUCCUUCCACCGGGACAGAGGAAAGCAAUUUCUAUUUUUCAACACCAAAUUUCGAAUGGUAUGAUGGGUUUUGCAUAAAUCUUGAUAAUUUUAUACCUAGUCACAUACAUACAAAAACCUUAAUUUUGUGGCUUGACGGAGAGCUCCUCGCCAUUGACCCACUCAGACGAGUCUAGAGUUUUCAUGUUCUGUUGGUAAUCUGUGACGCCAGUAUCAUUUGGGGGCGUCAAAGCAUGCAGUGCAGAGCCCAUGAAACAUCACGGAAGUACAUUGCUAUUGUCGUGCUAAACCCUCAAUCGAAGAAGGAAAAGAGAGAUGUAAUAAAAGAGAAGAAAAGAGGGGGGGGGGGGGGGGGGCGGCGGGAGUGUGUUGCAGCAACGGAUACAUGCUGCUCCUCAAGUCAAAGAAUUAUUGUGGUGUAAAGCAAUUAAUAUAUUUUAGUUAUCUCACAAUUCAUUAGCCUAAAUUUUAAGUUAAUGUGAGUUUAAUUGGAUAUGUUGACAAGUUUCGACAUGGCUUCACUCUUGAUGAUCUACCAAGGUAUUAGCUUUCCAAUGCACAACUCCCAACAAGUGGUAUCAAUAUUGAUAGUAGAUUGAUAGGCCCCCAAAUGAAAAUUUAACUUGAGAUAUCUUGGAGCCAAAAGCCGCAGAGUAGAUUGGAGGGUUCUCAAUGGAAAUUCAAGUUGAAAUAUCUUGAUGUAGCACAAGUGAUAUUAGAGUUAAUGGUAGAUCAAGGCCCUCAAUGGAGAUUCAAAUUGAGCUAUCUUAAUAUAGAAUGAUACAUGAAUUAAGGGAAGCUCACCUAAUGUUAAGCUCACACAUGAGUAAGAAACUAUUGAGGUGCACGUAUUCUAACUAAAUCAUAACUCAUUGGUUUAAAUUUUUAAAAUAAAGAUGAAUUUAAUUGAAUAUAUUGACGGGUUUAGACAUAAACUCUCUUUAUGAUCUUUUGAAGUGGAGACAUCAAUUUUUAUUGCACAGCCUCAACAACAUGGCACAUAAACAAAUGCUAAAAAUUUCAUGCGAGUGUUCAUUUAACAGCGUUAAUCGUGCACAAAUUAUAUAUCUCAUUGAUUAAAAAAUUGUCACUUCACAUACCAUCAUUUUCCACACCUUUGAUUAACCCACUAUACUUUUCAUUACCCUUUAUGAUGACAAUGACAAGAUGGGUGUAAAGUACCGAAAAAAAUGCCUCUUUUAGGGCGCGCAUGUUUUUAUUUCUGUUCUUUUUCUGUUCCCGAAAACAAAAAUAAAAAAAAGUGUUUCUGUUCCGGGGAACAAUUUUUGAAUAAAAAAACGCGUUUGGUAAACUUGUUCCGGAAAUAAAAAAUGAACAGAAACACGUUUGGUAAAUUUUAUUCUUUUUUUUGUUUCUUUUAAUUUUUUAAUAUUUUUAUUUUAUUUUUCAUUUUUUCCUUUCUUUUUUAUUUUUUCUUUUUUCGGCCGGUCGCCGGCCUCCGGCGACUGGCCGACGGGGCCGGCAACCUCACCCAGCCACGACGAUGCUCAGCCUCACCGGAUCUGGGCAAGCCCGAGCUCGCCCAGCCAAGGCGAGGCUCCGGCGAGGUCGCCGACCCUUGACGGCGUCGCCGGCCCUCGACGGCCGGUCGCCGGCCAUGGCCGAGGCCGGCGACUGGAGAAAGAAAAAAGAAGAAAAAAAGAAGAAGAAAAGAAGAAGAGAAGAAGAAGAGAGAGAAGAAGAAACGUUUCUUCAAAAUUGUUUCUGGAACAAGAAGUAAGUUUUUUUUGUUUCUUUUUUUUGUUCUUUUUGUGUUCUGGGAACAAAAGAACAAAAAAACAAAAAAGUGUUCCAGAAACACUUUUUAGGAAUAAAAACAUGCAGGCCCUUAUAAUUUUGGAGGAUUAAGAAAUAUUCUUUGUGGCAUGCAGGUGUCAUUUCACUUAACAAGGAUAUUUUAAAGAUCUUACGAAAUUUAAAACUAAAACUUGAAAGUUCUUCUUCCUUUUAAUUUUCAAGCCAAGCGUUGUGUCCUCUCUUCGGCCUCCAUAUACCUGGGAAUUCAUAUUGGACUUUGCGAGCCUUUCGAAAUUUCAUCAAUUACUCGAUGAUGUUUCUCAAGGUGUUAGAUGGAGGUGAAAAGGAUAUGAAAAGGAUAUGGAUGGGGGUUUGUGAUUUUAUUCAUUUAAAUCCAUAUCAAUAUAUACAUAUCAAUUUAUAAUUGGUCUAUGCUGUGUUAGUUAUUAACGUGACGCUUGCAACCAAUGAAUACUUUUCUCGUCAUUGAUGUAUGUGUUUGCAAUGGCUAGGGCAAUUGGUGGAAAGAGACAUGAUCCCUAGACAAUUAGUCCAAUGUUUAUGCAAGUGUCCUCUUGACAAGUUGAUUCCUAAAAGAUACCUUUGAAAACUCUUUUCAAUCGUAUUUGUCUUAUUCCAAAAUGGUCACUUCGCAUAUCAUGUUUCACUCAUUUUCCACACGUUUUGAUAAAUGCACUUUCCUCCUCCAUUACCACUUACGAUGACAAUGACUAUGAUAAGAUGGGUGUAAGAGAUGUCUAUUGUAUAAUUUUUAAAAAAGAAUUUCAAAUAGACUUGAAAAUGGACAUGAGAGGAGUUUAAGGGUGUAAUUUGGAGAACCACUCCAUAGAUUGUUAGAUAAGGCUUAUCAGAAAAUGGACAGCUGCAAACAAUGGGCAUCUUCAAUUACCAUCAAAAUUUUCUGUGAACUCCAUGGGGUCUUGUUGAUAUGAGCUCCAAACUCAAAGCAAUUGUGUCCAUGUCGACACCCUCAAGAUAAUGUUGGAUCUCGGUCCCCUCUUAGAUGAGAAGUUCCAUCGUAGAAAUGGAUUAACCGAGAAAUAUCGGGCACCCAGGUGGCAUCAAUUUCGCAAAAUACUAGUCUAUUAAUAACUCUUUCUCUCUCCUCUCUCCUCUGUCCAUUACUUUUUCCUCCCUUUCCUUUCUCUCCCGCGCUUGCUUUUUACUCAUCUUCUUCUUCAUCCAUCAAUCUUCUCUAUUUAGCACUUGCUUUAUUUCUUUCCUCUUGCAUCCGCCAUGGCUAGAGCUUAAGCACAAGCCUGAGGCUCAUGGCUGCUUGGGCCAUGGAGCUCAACCUCGAACCCAAAGCUUGGGAUAGCCUUGGCUGCUCAAGUCUUGAGCUCAGUCUCCAACUAGUGGCAAUGGCCAAUUGAGCUUUGAGCUCAUCGCGAUGGUGGCCGAGCCUUGAUAUCCUUGUUGUAAUUAUGGUGGGUUAAUGAAUCAAUGGAUGUGAGCGAAACGAGAAGUGUUGUUUCUAUUCACAUAUCUCAUAUUAAUUCGUGUAUUUCUCGAGUUCAUAUAUUUCUUGGAUUCGUGUAUCUACUUAAUUCUUGAUUAAUGUAUCUUCUGGAUUUUUGUAUCUAUUUAAUUCAUGUAUCUACUAGAUUCUUGUAUCUAUUCAUUUCAUGAUUCAUGUACAGUUUCUGUACAUGAAUUCAAAAACUCUAUAAAUAAAUUUCUAAAUCUUCAUUUCGAUAAGAAGAAAAAGUCACCAACAAUUCCUCUCUUCAAGUUUUCUCUAAAUAAAUUUCUAAUACCAACAGAUUCGAGGUGUUAUAUCUUGGGAGGCGAAGUUUGUGAAGCUACUUAACACUGUUGGCAAGAAUUAAUCGUCUUAAGGAGAUUCGUUUAGCCAUAUCUCACCUGCAAUUCUUGUUUAUUUUGUUGUCACUUUUUCGAUAAAUUUUCUAGUUACAAUGAACAGUGUUGCAUAUCUUCCGCCAAUACAUGUCUUCUUCUCCACCUCCUAUUCUUUAUUUUCCAACACCCCCGUCCAUGGUCACUAGAUUAAGGCACUUGAGGACACGAAUCAGGACUUGAACCUAGAGCUUGAGGUCAAAGCAGCCAUGGUCCAUUCCUUAAGUUUGAUUGAAAUCACUACCUUCCAUUCCUAAACAUCUCAUUUAAAUUUUAGAAAAUUUAAUGAUAGAGAAUAGAAGAGUAAAGAAAAUAUAAUGAUAGGGACAACACAGUACUAAAUAUUUGAAAUGAUGAAGUCAUAAAGCAAACACUAGCCAUGGAAAAUAUGUCUCAAUAAUGAACCAACAACCUACAACAGGCAUAGAAGACAGAUUUUGAUGGUUUCAUCAUUUUACAAUGGACAAUGCAACCUAUAAAUGAUCUAUCUAGAAUAAAACAAAUUGGUGACAUCAACUUGUUGCUGUAUUAUGAGGAGUUCUCAUUUAAUGUAUGAGGCUCAUGUUAGCAUCCUGUCUGAAUCAAAAAGGAUAUUGAUGAAAGUGAUAUAGAGUUAUAAUGAAAUAUAGUUUUGAAAAGUUAGAAAUAAGACCUACAAAAGCUUCUUUAAGGCUGGUUGGGGGUUAACUUACACCACACGAACUCUUACUAGGAGCUGAUUUUGUACUUGUAAUCACAAAUAAUGACAGGCAACUGUAGACUUUAUCCUACUGGAUGGGAGUUGUACAUAUGUUGGUCUCCUAGAUGAUUCCACUAUGUUAAUAUUCAAGUCUAUUCCUAUGUAACUGAAGAGAGUAGGAGUGAAAGAGACCACUUUGCACCAUAUGUGUGUAUGUAUAUCUUACUAAUCAUCAAGUGCAUUUAUCCCUUGUUAGAUGCUAUGCAAUUUUUCCCCCUGUUAUUUGUCUGUUUACUGUUGUUAAUGAAAAAACAUGUUUUGCUCUCGUUGUACUCCUUUAAGCUAGUAAUAACAUAUGUUCUUUAUAUAGUUGGCUUCUUCCUUUGAUUUGAUGGACUGUACUUUAUGAUCCUCUUUAAUAAGUAGCCUCAUUUGGACUUGAAAAGUAUGGUUAAAAGAAGUAUAGGAGAGAGGGACUGUUGGGUGGCUAGAGAAAAUCGAGGGGCAAGAGGCGGUUUUUAUAUGGAGGGCAAGGACAACUUUUUGAUUUUGAUUUGGUUUUGUUGCUCGAAGAAAAAUGUCGGGUUUGUCGCUACCUGAGGAAGCAUCGUCCUCCCUUCACUUCCACGUGCUUGCAGGCCAAGAGCACGUGGGGAACAUGAGACGUGUGAACGCGGGUAUGAGACUUGAUCAGGCCCCAUUAAUUAAAAGGAAAAUCUCACCAAAGUAAUUUUUUUUCCCAAGCACAGCAUCAUAAGAGUUCCAAUACCCCAUGUUUGUACUAGCGACUCAAAUACACUUUACGUCAAAGAUAGUUUUCUGGGUUGAUACUAGGAAAAAUCACAAACUACACAUAUUAUAAAUAUAAAGUAAGACCUUAAACCGAUGCACUUGUUAUAUGUUAGGUAUAAUCCAAUUCUUUAACUGUAAAAUUUAACGGAAACCAAUAGAUAAUAGAUUUAUUAUAGGUGUACCAAUUAAGAGGGUUUUAAAGGGUCAAAAAAUUAGUCUAAAGUAAAUUUGUUAAGAGGUCGAAACAUGUAUGUUGUCCCCAACUAACAAGCACCACAUGCCAUUCUUCAAGGACUGCCUCUUAGUUUCUUGACCCUUUAUUCUUGAAGCUAGUUUUUAGAGUCUCAUAUUUUCUUAUCCACAAGUUCCACAAAGUAGCAAAUGAAGAGCAUACUUAGAACCAUACCAACUUAUCGAGGUAACAACAAAGUUCUAAUUAGAAGAAGCCAUUCUAGUGGAGGAAGAAAAAGCACUUAGAAAGCCAUGAGAGUUAUCACAAUAUUGAUUUAUUUAGGGAAGGCUAGUUUGCCCCUUCAAUACACAAUAAAUUGCCUUAUAUUGCAUGAGUUGCAUCGAACAUCACAAGGCAUCUAGAGGACAAGUCCCUUUCAUGAUGCUACAGACAAUAGAUAUGAAAGCCACAAAGUAUAAAAGAUGCUUAAAGCACUAUAAACAAAGCACACUCCAUGCCAAGCUUGCUAAAGCAAGUGGUAAAGCUUAAAGCACCCUCCACACCUAGUAAAUUAGUAAAGCACACCACCCUAUCGUAUUAUUGAAUCCCUCUUUAGUGUUGUUUGUCGAGCUAUUUGAGUUGUCUCCAUCUUUUGCUUUGCGAAAGGUGCAAAUAAGAAUGUCUAUCUUCCACUGCGACAAAAGCUGAUCAGCAGUAGGGUCGUCAAGGAUUCUUGAUGAAGAUGAACCAUAUGUUCUUCUUUUCUUAGAGGUGGAAGCUAGAUGUAAAUCUAUGGAGAUGAAUUCAAAUGAGUAGGGGUAUUGGGUUAGUGGCCCACCCUAUGGAUCUUGGGAGAAGGAAGUGAGUGUUUCAUCAUGAUCAGAACUAAGAUCCUCUCCAUGUUAUUCCCUUAAGGCCUGAUGAAUUUGGUGGCUUAUUUCAAAGAAUUUUAGAUUAGUGUGUUGCCAUAUUGGGUUACCUUCUUGCCAAGUCUAUGGAGGAAUCACCAUGUUGUGUUGGCACAAAAUUCUUUGAAGUUCUUUAUGAUUCUUUGGGAUUUGUCUAAUUUUUGUUGAGAGGGUUUUGAAAAUAUCAUUUGUUCUUGAUUGAGGCUUGAAAGUAAAGACGCCAUCCUUUGUUGGAGUCUAGUGAAGAUUUCCACUUGGCCUAAAAAUCAUCCACGACCCAGGAAAGAUGAUUAAAGUGUGAAGUUCUGUAUUUGGCUGGCAAAAUUUCGAUUGUUCUUUAAAAACUAUUCUCUAGAUUCCUAAAGGUUUAAACCAUGAUAGAAAUUCUCCUAAAUGUGCAAAAUCUGACUCCUUGGAUAAACUAGCCAAUGAUGAGAGGCAUUUUAGUUGUAGGAAAUUCAACAUCUAUUUAAUGUAGAAUAAGCAGAUACCAAAUAAGCCAUUUAAGGUUUUCAAGAAAUGGGUCUAUGGAUGAGAUGGUCAAAAGAUAUAAGAAUGGAUACUUAGGAUAUAGUUCCAAAUGUCUCAAACAUAAUCCAUUAUAUUUGUUUAAGAUUCUUAAUUGAUAAACUCAUAGUAGGUCAUUAAGUUUUCAAAGACAACAUUGCCUUGGCCAUUUUGGCAACAUUGGCUGAGCUCGAAUUUGGCCACUAGCUAUUGUACUUGCAUACAUGUUGAUGGAAUUCAUUAGGGCUUUUGAUUUGGCUUGAAUAGAAAAUCUGCAAGCACAUUCUUUUUUUCUCGCAAUGCAUUUGGUUUUAAAGGAAUAUUUGAAAAACCAUUAUGCUCAUUUUAGAAGUUGUGGGUGCGGAAUUGCCUUCUUGCUUUAAUUUCAUCUGGUUAAAGGAAGACAUGUCAAAUUUGAUAAGAAAAUGGUGAUCUAUGAGAUGAAAUUCGAAUUUCUUAAUCCCGUACUUAACAACCAAGAUUUCUUUGAACAUAGUUCCACUCUUGUGUCCAUAGAUUCUCCUCUUAACGUCAACUUGUUGUUCAAAAAGAAUAGCUCCCAAUAUUUGUCAUUAACAUUGGUACGAAUAAUUCUUUUUCCUUAAGAGGGAAUUUGAAGAGGAGGUAAAGAUUUUUACUUUUAUCUGAAUGACUAGACCAAGAAAAAAAUGGUAGGAUCUUAAGGGGGGGAGGCAAUUCAAAGUUGAAGUUAAAAAUAACUCCAAAAAAACUUUAACCACAACCGAACUUGUUAAUUUUUGGAUUUUUCUAAUUUACGGGAUAGAUUAGUCGGAAUGUGUUACCUGCACUAAUAAAUGCAAGGGCAUAGAAGAAAGGACAAAUUCCCCUGUGGCCACAAUUGGACACUCGAAAGCAGCGAAGUCAAAUGAAAUAAUUUAAAGUGUGCUCAUAAUGAUUUUCAUAUUUAAAUAUUACUUAAUUUGAAAUUUUCGACAUACAAAUUAUUGACUUUUUUCAUUCGAAAUGCUAGAAACGUUCCACAUAUUGAUGUUCACAUAUUUAAAUUUUACUUAAUUUGAAAUUUUCGACAUGCAAAUUAUUGACUUUUUUCAAUCGAAAUGCUAGAUGCGUUCCACAUAUCUCCAAAAAAAAAUUACGUAAUUUAUACGUAAUUUAUACGUAAUUUUUUUCACAAUCAGAGAAAUUUUGAGGGGGGAAAAUUACUUAAUGAAAAAAAUAGGCCCCUGCUUAACGCAACAGCUUGGCUUUGAUAGACAUGAUCAGGCAACCAAAAAAAAAAUUCCACAAAUCCAUGUCCGUCCCCACGAGCUUAAAAGGGGGGAAAAGUCAAGAAGAAAAGGGAGUGAACUAGCGACGAGUCCCAAAAGAUACUGCUAUUCAUCGUCGUAGAGAUCCUCAGCUUCCUGAUCUUCUGCGAUCGUCUCCAAUGUUAUACGUCUGAAACUUCUGUCGAGAGCUGGGACGAGAAGAGCCGGCGCCACCUCCAUCCACGGACUCAUCGAUCCUUCGAUUCCCUUCGCCAUGUCGCGACCGUGGUUCUCGACUCCGAUUCAAGAGCUCAAGCUUUGGUCGACUCGACUAAGUGAGCUUCGGUUGAAAUCGCUAGAAGAAGAAGAAGAGAAGAAUUCCACAACUGCUCUGGGAGAGAUGGAGACUCUGUGUGAGAGACUGAAAUUGUUGGGUGAUGGAGAAAAUCUGGGGGGUGAGCGGCGGAUUUUAAUAUGGAGGGCAAGGACAACUUUUCGACUGCUCGAAGAAAAACAUGGGGUUUGGUGCUGCUUGGGGAAGCUUCGUCCUCCCUUCACUUUCACAUGUUUGUAAGGCCGAAGGCACGUGGGAUACAAGAGACGUGUGAACGCGGGUUUGGGACUUUGAUCGGGCCCCAUUAAUUAAAAGGAAAAUCUCACCACAUUAAUUAAUUUUUUUCCCCGUGGACAACGUCUUGCCAAACUCUUUCCGUAAAGCCAUCACCCCAUAUUUGUACUACCGACUCGAAUAUUCUUUAAGUCCAUAAUAGCUUUUUUAAUAUCCGAUGCGACAGCAUGCGUAGAAGUCCGAUUUUUUUAUGGCCAUUAGGGAUGAAAGUUCAACAUCGUGUAUUUUUGGGUCAUUAAUACGAAUUAGGAUAUUAGUGAGAUAAAAAAAAAUUGAGGUAUUGAUGUACACGAGAAAAAGCUUGAGAUUUUUAGUGAAUUUUUUCUUAAUUAAAUUAUUCAACUAAUUGGAUAAUUAUAUAGACUGUGAAGCGACAUACUCUCAACAGUUCCUUCUCAUAAAAUUGAGUCUCGAGCGAUCCCAAUUAUCACAUGUUCCGAAUGCAUCGUUGAAACCUACACAUCUGCAACAUUCAGUUCUGGUAGAAUUCAUCCAUUUUGCAUGUAGGGCGACCAUACUCAAUGAAGCAUAAUUAUAUGGAGUGCAUGCAUUUAGUUUCUACAGUAAUUUUUCUGCAACAAUAGUUGAACCGUUAAAUCAUAUGAGUUAUUACGUAGUGGAAGGAAUUUGGUUUCGAACAUGUUUUUGUCCAAUCACGGGAUACUUUCCCUAACUAAAUUUUUGAUUAGUCAAUGAUAAAUAAAGACAUUAAGUUUUGAUGUAGUGUCCAUCGUGUGGAGUGUGGUGGAAGUGGCAUCAUUUGGUGGAGGGUGGAACUUGGAAGUGGCAUCAUUUGGUGUGGGGAGAGAGAGAUAAGGGUUAAUUAUAGUUGAGACUAUGAUGGUAGCUUCGAGCUCAGUAAAUUUUUACUUCACAAUUUCUUCAUGUAUUAAAAAGUUUAAAAAUUUUACAUGUUGAUUUCACACGCCAAUUUAAAUAUAAUUACUUCCCGAUUUUUAACUUUUUUGGUUAUAUUUUUGAUUUUGAGGGGACCCGAAAAGAAAUUACUUUAUGAGAAGUGAGAACGAUAGGCCGUUGCUUUAACGCGAAAAGUUGGCUUUCAUUGACAUGAUCGUAGACAACAAAAAAAAAUUCCACAAAUCCAUGCCACAGCUUCCCAGUUCACGCGCUUCUUCCGCACAGAGCAAAGGGCAAAAUAGAAAAAAAUAAAAAGAAGAGGGAGCGAACUAGCCACAACUCCCAAAAAAAAAAGGAAAAAGAAAAUCUGCUAUUCAUCAUCGAGAUCCUCAACUUCCUGAUCCUCUGCAAUCGUCUCCAAUGGAGGGUGUCUGCAACUUCUGUCGGAAGCCGGGACGAGAAGAGCCGGCGCGACCUCCAUCCAGGGACUCAAUCCUCCGAUUCCCUUGGCCAUUUCGGUACCGCGAUUCCCGAUUAAGCUUUUGUCGAAGGAAGAGCUCGACUGGGCCAGCUCCGGUUGGAAUCGCUGGAGAAAGAGAACCGCACGCUUCCUGUGCUUCCUGUGCGAGAGAGAUGGAGAGUUGGAGAGAGAUAGGGAGAGGGAGAGAAGGUUUUUGCUUGGUGGUUGGACAAACUUGAGGGGAGAGGCGGCUGUUUUAUAAGGAGGGCAAAGGACGAGUGGGGAUCUCAUUUCGUUGGUUUUGGCUCGAUGAAAACGUGGCGUGUGUCGCUAUUUUAUUCGUGGAAGGUUCGUCCUCCCUUCCUCCCUUUCGACUGGCUGAAAGGCCAGAGCACGAAAAGAAACACGUAUUAAUAUAUGUGACAAUGACAUAAAUCGUGUUUGAACUUUAGUCCAUAAAUUUUAUAUUUUAUACAUUUUUAAUUUAUUUAACGUGAUUUCAGAAACGAGAGAUCUAUGUUUGGAAUAAGAGAAAAUUGAGUUAGUUAUUAUAGGGGACGAACCUCUUGUUCAAACCCUUCAUAUAUAGCCUUUUGCAAACUAUCCAGAAAUUUAGUUUGAAUUUUUUAAUACAUGUUCGAUGUGAUCAAUGAACUAUAUAAGUAUGUUUAAGGUAAUCCGUAUAUUAAUUCAAGAUAAAUGAGAAUAUUGAAUAUUGAAUAUCAAUAGGCUAAAGUUUAUAAAUCAAAUUACAUAUUAGAGUGAAGCUAAUAAAUCAUUCGCAUCAUUUUUUUCCUAAUUAUAUCACGCAAUUGAUUGAGGAUGAUGUAGACCAUGACAUGGCGCACUCCCAACAUCAUCGCAUGUGUCAUAUACAUCUUCAGUCCCUAAAAUUUUGACCCUAAAGUUUAUAAACUAUUUAUGUCAUCUUCCCUAAUUAUAUCACACAACCGAUUUAGGGCGAUGUGGGCCAUGACGUGGCGCACUCUAAACGUCAUCACGUGUGUCAUAUGCAUCUUCGGAUCUUACAUAUCUGCACCGUUUGACUCUGGUGAGGAUUUACUGGAUCUUCUCACGUAGGGCGACCACACUCAAUAAUAUUUUUCAAUUCGGAGUGCCUGCACCUGGUCCAAACGGUGAUUUUUUUUCCCCAAAAACCGCCAAGCCCAUGGAAUCAUAUCUAGAGGUUGUACGUAGAGGCAUUCCAGAGGAAAUUUUCUCUAAUUAAAGUUUAGAUUACUUGUGAUACAAGCCAAGCGUUACCCACUGCUAAUUUUGAUUGUAUUCGCAUGUUGAUGAUGAUGUCAAUAAAUUAUAAUCCAUUAUCUAGGGGUAGCGGUAGGAGAAAAUUUCCUUCCACCAGGACAGAGGAAAGCAAAUUCUAAUUUUCAACACCAAAUUUCGAAUGGUACGAUGGGUUUUGCAUAAAUCUUGAUAAUUUUAUACCUAGUCACAUACAUACGAAAACCUUAACUAUUGUGGCUUGACAGAUAGCUCCUCGCCAUUGAUCCACGCAGACGAGUCUCGAGCUUUCAUGUACUGCUGGUAAUCAGUGACGUCAG
Molecule: long non-coding RNA, 13275 nt
Filed under: Eucalyptus grandis
Lineage: Eukaryota; Viridiplantae; Streptophyta; Magnoliopsida; Myrtales; Myrtaceae
Description: long non-coding RNA (EGRA_LNC006604)
Source: RNAcentral